Molecule: ribosomal RNA, 451 nt
Filed under: uncultured bacterium
Lineage: Bacteria
Description: bacterial SSU rRNA
Rfam family: Bacterial small subunit ribosomal RNA
Source: RNAcentral
AACGAACGCUGGCGGCAUGCCUAACACAUGCAAGUCGAACGAGACCUUCGGGUCUAGUGGCGCACGGGUGCGUAACGCGUGGGAACCUGCCUUUAGGUUCGGAAUAACUCAGAGAAAUUUGAGCUAAUACCGGAUAAUGUCUUCGGACCAAAGAUUUAUCGCCUUUAGAUGGGCCCGCGUAAGAUUAGCUAGUUGGUGGGUAAAGGCCUACCAAGGCGACGAUCUUUAGCUGGUCUGAGAGGAUGAUCAGCCACACUGGGACUGAGACACGGCCCAGACUCCUACGGGAGGCAGCAGUGGGGAAUAUUGGACAAUGGGCGAAAGCCUGAUCCAGCAAUGCCGCGUGAGUGAUGAAGGCCUUAGGGGUUGUAAAAGCUCUUUUACCCGAGAUGAUAAUGACAGUAUCGGGAGAAUAAGCUCCGGCUAACUCCGUGCCAGCAGCCGCGGUAAU